CCUACGAGUGGCUGCAGUGGGGAAUAUUGCACAAUGGGGGAAACCCUGAUGCAGCGACGCCGCGUGAGUGAAGAAGUAAUUCGUUAUGUACAGCUCUAUCAGCAGGGAAGAAAAUGACGGUACCUGAGUAAGAAGCCCCGGCUAACUACGUGACAGCAGCAGCGGUAAUACGUAGGGGGCAAGCGUUAUCCGGAUUUACUGGGUGUAAAGGGAGCGUAGACGGCAGUGCAAGUCUGGAGUGAAAGGGGGGGGCUCAACCCCCGGACUGCUCUGGAAACUGUACGGCUGGAGUGCAGGAGAGGUAAGUGGAAGUCGUAGUGUAGCGGUGAAAUGCGUAGAGAUUAGGAGGAACACCAGUGGCGAAGGCGGCUUACUGGACUGUAACUGACGUUGAGGCUCGAAAGCGUGGGGAGCAAACAGGAUUAGAUACCCCUGUAGUC
This 440-nucleotide ribosomal RNA is filed under the name uncultured bacterium. RNAcentral describes it as "partial 16S ribosomal RNA". It matches the Rfam family "Bacterial small subunit ribosomal RNA", at positions 338 to 795 of the family's 1533-position model. The record is from RNAcentral.